This 575-nucleotide long non-coding RNA is filed under the name Takifugu rubripes (torafugu). RNAcentral describes it as "lncRNA (ENSTRUG00000026372.1)". The record is from RNAcentral. Lineage: Eukaryota; Metazoa; Chordata; Actinopteri; Tetraodontiformes; Tetraodontidae.
GGCUGCUCUUCGGGGGGAGAUCUGACUGGAGCUUCCUUCACCUCGGCUGAUCGUUUGAUCCCCGACGCGCCGCCGAUCGUGUUCACUUCUGUUCCAGGUUGUUCCUGCAACGUGAGAAUAAUAACAGCAAACGCGCAGCGCUGGAGGCUGCCGCCUCUGAUUCAUGUCGCUUCCUUUUUCUCCGUGUGUGGGAGAGGACGGCGUGACAAAGUGCACACCCAGAGUUUGACAGUUUAAAGAAAAGACCCGCCCUCAGAUUGUCAUCUGCGCUUUGAUCUCGCCUUUCUCUGAUGUUCCUCGUCAUGGCAGAGUGUUUCGCUUUGCUAGCUUUUUUCUUUUUUCCUCUCGCGCUGAUUGUUGCAAGUGAAAUGCUCGUAUUGUCUGUGUUUGACCAGAAUUCUGUGGGAAGAAGAAUAACUCGUGAAACGGAGUUACAUGUGCACAAACGGCGGAAGAGUCGACGUCUCUCGCUGAACAGGAAGACUUCCUACACACCUGAGGAGUGCGUUUUUCCCAACACACCUGGACAAGAUUCUCAACUGUUGACAACAUCCCGAUUGGCCAGUUGCCUUUGA